Macaca fascicularis (crab-eating macaque) is the source of this 1620-nucleotide long non-coding RNA. NCBI's taxonomy places the organism in Eukaryota, Metazoa, Chordata, Mammalia, Primates, Cercopithecidae. The record is from Ensembl.
GCUUUGCUUUGUCUCUAGAGGUGCCUUCGAUGAGGCGACAUUGCAGAUGACCCAGUGUUAGGUAAUUAAGACUCAGGAAAUCACGGCGGUCCUACCUUUAGAACUCACCUCUCUGCCCAGCACUACAUCGCGAAGGGUGGGUCGCCAGAGCUGCGGAAGAGAUGCCCAAGGCUCCCUCUUGCCCUGACAGGCUGGGACACUGCUCCCCUCUGUUGGUUUCUCACCGCACCUCAAUAAACUGAGCUCACAGCAAGAGGCGGGCAUGGGCUGAGUAGAAACACACAGCAGACCCCGGGUGGGCAGGACGGAAGACGAGGGUGCUCGCGGAGACGAGGGUGUGCCCCAGGAAGAAGGUGCACGCGGGGUAGAGGGUGCACAGGCUCUGAGAACCUGGUGGCAGCAAGGCCAGUCAAGGCUGAACUCCAACAGAGGCAGCAGCAACGGUGUUGGGAAGUCACAGAGAAAGCACCACCCAGAGGGGCUGCAAGAACCAGCAGCGACCCCAACCCAACGUGCUCAUCGGACUGGGCACACACACACACUGUGGACACGUGUGAAUAUGUUCCAAUUAAUGUGAUGUUACGUAAUAAUCAACAAUGUUAAUCCCACGACUUCAUUACAUGGCAUCUGGCACAUUGAGACUUUUUAUUCUAUCUCUCUUCCUAUAGAAAGAAGUGAAAAUAGGUCCAAGACCAAUCACAACAAAUUAUUGCUAAUUGCAAAAAAAAAAAAAAAAAAUUCUACCCUCACCUUGGAGGAUCUCAAGGCAACACCUCGUUCUUUGAGGUCAUGGUUUGGACGCUCUCCGGACCCCUAGGUGGAUCUGAAACUGCAAGGAAUCCCCAAAUGGGCAGUUUUGGGGCCAGCCAUACAUCCAGGCAGGUCUUGGCAGGUUGCUCCCUGACCUCGGCUGGUUCACUAACCUUUUCUUGCACUCAGAACCCGCCAGGAACGAGGGCACCGGCCCGCACGUCUCUGCUCCCAAGGCUACAUCCCCUAUGUUCUGCUGCACUCUGGGUUCCAUGCCUUAGAUCCCAGGCACCUUAAAGUUGACGUUUCCCCACCAGCCCUCAUGAAGAUGAUACUCAGAUAACGUCCUUCCUCUCCCACCUGGUCAGUACCCAGGGAGAAAGGAACCCAGGUCUCAGUUUGAUUUUCUGCCAGUCCAUCGAAAAAACAGCUGGCCAGCAGCACUGGUGCACAGCACUGUCAGGUUACCCGUGAGGAAAACAAAACAAAACGAGAUAUACUCAAGUCAGCUGCGGCAAGUGCUUCCACAUCCCUGCUCCAACAAGGAAAGACAGGAGGCCGGGAGUGUGGCUCACACCUCUUGUCCUUCCUUGUUGGGUCAGGGGUACAGAAGCAUUUUGGGAGACUGAGGCAGGACAAAUGCUUGAAUUUGAGACCAGCCUGGGCAACAUAGCAAGACCCCGUCUCUACAAAAAAAAAAAAAAAUUAGCCAGGUGUGGUAUCGUGCCUGUAGUCCCAGAUACUCAGGGGGCUGAGGUGAGAGGAUCACCUGAGUCCAGGAGGCGGAGGUUGCAGGGAGCCAAGACUGCACCACUGCACUCCAACCUGGGCAUCAGGGUGAGACCCUGUAUCAAAAAAAAAAAAAAAAAA